UAUGUGCUGAGCUAUAUUAACCAUUUCCAAAUUUACUUAAUUGUGUGCCAGAAAGACUUAACUGUAUGCCAAGCUAUAUGAAAUGUAUUCAAAGUCUUAUUAACUGUGUACAUAGAACAUGCUAAACAGUUUUUCAUCUAAAAAUUUAGCAAUUGUUUAACCAAUUUUAUUACCCACCUAGAAAAUUUAUUAGAGAGAUAUAUGGUCAUCAGAAAGGUAAAAAAUUAAUUUACACUAAUAAUUAUAAUAUUUUAUACCUUUAUUAUUAUAUUAUACUAUAAAUAUAUAUUACAUUAUAUCAUAAUACAUUAGUAUGUUAUGUUAAAUAAUUUAAUAUGAUGUUAUAUUAUAAAAAAUUAAUUUACAUUAAUAAUUAUAAUAUUUUAUACCUUUAUUAUUAUAUUAUACUAUAAAUAUAUAUUACAUUA
Molecule: long non-coding RNA, 428 nt
Filed under: Phoenix dactylifera (date palm)
Lineage: Eukaryota; Viridiplantae; Streptophyta; Magnoliopsida; Arecales; Arecaceae
Description: long non-coding RNA (PDAC_LNC003857)
Source: RNAcentral